AUAUCUCUGCUCACAGUAAGAUGUGUGUGUGUCGAUUGGACGAUCGCACAAACCGAGUGAGUGAAUGACUCACUCCUAUCCGUUUAGUGCUGCAUACAGAGAGAAGUGUUUCAUCUACUGGCUUUGUGACAGGUCCAACCAUGUGCCACAGCUCAUCAGUCCUUGCGCCGUGUAUGAUGAUCUUCCUCUCUGGGGCUGUGAGAGCCGGAGAUGCACCGGGGAUGCGAUGGGACUAACAAUUCUCCAGCUGUGAUCCAUGGAGAGUCUUUGGCCACUCAAACUAUCUUUCUCAACAAACAGGUCUGACUGAAUGCCUCAUACCAGCACAGCACAAUGAGGCCCAAUCCAGGAGGAUCUAAUCAGUGGCAGCACAGCCAGAUGUCUCCCAGAGUAGAGUCCAAAGAAGGCUAUACAUUGAUUGUGUAUGCUGGGUAUAUCCUUGUACAUUACAUCAGGGCCAAAUAAAAACCAUUAGCAAACUGCCUUUACACAGACGUCGUUAUCUUGAGGAUAUAGUGUUUUUUUUAUUAAUUCAUUUUUUUCCACAAGGACUUUGAAUUACUCUUAUGAUAUGCUUGUUAAAAGUGCGAGCUAAUUAAUCUGGUGUCCAGUGCAAUUUUGUCCAAAUGGAUAAAGAGCCCAGUUCUCCAUCAGCCGUGAACGCUUUCUGUAAUCUUGCAUUUCAUUGCAUUUCCCCCAAGGCAUCUAGCACCUAGCCUGUCCCUCUCUUUUCAUUACCCGUCUUUUGAUCGCACUUGUGCAGAAAAUAGGCUUUUUCGUUGACAGUGUCACAAAGUGUUGUCUUUAAUACAUGGUCAUGUGCCAUGAUAUAUUCUUUUCCAUUGUGAUUUUUCACACUCACUUACAUGAGCUUGAAUGAACCAUUAUGGAACAAUAUUAUGGCAAAUUGUGUUCCUUGUGCCAUAGCGCACUAAAUGUCUGUGUCAACAGAAAAGAAAUGACACUAUAAAGAUAUCUAAUAGCAUUUCCUGAUUCACUGUGAAUUAAUGCAUAGCACAUGUAGGCAGCCGAAACGAGCCGUUCCAGAAUAUUCCACAUGGAUGCAUGUAUAUGUUUUCACAUUCUCAACUGUUUCAUGGUGGAGACUGCUUUGAUGGCUACAGGUGUUGAAAUCGGUUGAUUAUUUAAAGUUGACUGUGUGAUGGUGUGACUGGUAGGGGUGGAAAGAGCUGUGAGACCCGUGGAACAUAUCCCUCUUUACACUGGUUUAAAGAGGGAAAAUUAUGAAUAAAGCUUACAACCACAGAUCGUAUAUCAACAUUAUAAUGACUACAUAGUUGCAGCACAUGUCAAGCUUUUCUUGCUUUUCAUACACAAGCAGUGCAUUCAAACUCACACACACAAGUGUUUGCCUUGAUAAAGAACAACCAUACCUUGACGUGCCAACUUAUGUUAACUAACUUUUAACUGAGGAAUUCUGUUUAUUAUAUUGGGAUUGUGCUUAUUGGUCACUGCCUAAUGAUUCAGUUGAUUUUAAUAAAUAUGUCUAUAUUGGCUAUCGUUGGUUAAGUGAACGCUUAAGUCAUAUACGUACAGUAUUAUAUGAUCUAUUUUUCAGAGCCAUUAUGGGAUAUGAUUGUUGGAUUCAUAGAUUUAGUAGUCUUUUUCAAUUGCUUAUACAUAUUUUUGACUCUUCUGGGAGUUUUUAGACUAGUCGACUAGUCGGUUACAAAAUUUCCAUUUAAAGAUUAAAGAUAUUAGUCAUGGUUGCAUUCCUAGUUGCCACCCGUCAUAAAUCAGAAAAAUAGAAGACAGAGACGCAGUGUGUAGCUAAUGCUGCCUCACAAAAUUAUGUCUGAGGAGAUGACAGAUGACAGCUCAAUACUGUACCUGUACCCAAAAAAAGUUAACUUGAAAGUUCUCAAAGUUCUUUUUGUACCUUUUGUACAGUCAGUUAUAGUUACUAACACUCUCCAUCUCCCUAAGCUCAUAUUUUGAAUAUGAUUCACUGGCCACUAAAAGAGAAGAAUAAGGAAAAAAAGUUAAAAAGAAAUUGGACUGCUAGCACAACGCCCCCCCUCCCCCAAAAAUAAAUAAAUAAAUAAAUAAAUAAAUAAAAAAUCUAUAGCUCUUGUGAUGGUGUCAUUGUUAUUCUUUACUAGUGACAGGCUUUUCCAGGUUCAGUCAAACUAUCAAGAGUUCUUGUGUUGAAGGAUAAUCUAUCAGAACUAAUAGUAUUAAUCAGCCAGCUAAUUUCAGCACUUCAUUUGCAAGAUACUUGAGAUGGUGUGCAGAAAGCUGGCAUCCUAACACACACAACUGAAGGGCAUUUAUGUGUGCUUAUCACUGGCGGUAGAGAGGCAGCAAUGUAAUGAAAAGUGUGUGUAAAGAAGAGACAGGCGGCUUUCAUCCGAAGGCUCGGUGACCUCCACAGCUGUCACACACACUCCAGACUCAUUUCCAGCUCUGCUGCGAGAGCAGUGCCAUCACCCUGCAAUUACAGCCGAGGAAAACAGAGUUGAUUUCUGCGGUCAUCUGUUGAUGCCCGGCCACUUUAGAUUACAUAUGAACACAACGGAUGUGUAUGUAACUCACUCAUGCAAGCAAACAUACACACAUCCUCUCUGUGUAAUUCUGCUGUGAGGAUUUGUUUGUGCCAAAACCUGAAAUGAAGCCUAAUAUAUUUUCUUAUCGCAGCUCAGCAACAUGUAAUAAAUAAACAGAAAAAAAUAAAAAUAAAAAAAAUAAAAACCUUAAGUAAAUUAGUCUUCCUUUAUUCAUUCUGCAUAUAUCUAAAAUGCAUUUCUGUUCUCUCUCAGCAUUUCUAGUCAUUUGCUGCCCUUACAUUGCUGGUACCUGGCUGACCCUUAUGAAAAAUGUGCAUAUAAAUAACCAUAACUCAGAUUGUGCUGUUCUGUAGGCAGAGAUAUUGAGCGAAAUAAUCUCAUUUAGCAUCUGGCACGCACUUAGACUAUAUAUGAUAGACAUCAAAGCCCAAGAAGAGAGCUUGAAGUCACUCCAC
Long non-coding RNA from Cyprinus carpio carpio, 2983 nucleotides. NCBI's taxonomy places the organism in Eukaryota, Metazoa, Chordata, Actinopteri, Cypriniformes, Cyprinidae. The record is from Ensembl.